CGUGUCCAGAACCAGCAACUAGAUCUAUUUACAGUGAAACUUCAAAUUUGGGGUUACUCUCAGAAAUGUCUCGCGGCCACGUUGUCAGAUUCACCAAGUCCGACUCUGCUCUCCAUCUUCGGCGCAUCCGAUGUCGCUUCGUCGUCUCUCGUAACCUAGAUUCAACGCACAUAUACAAAAUCAACCUUCCAAGAGUAGAUCCAAGCUUCAAAAGGCCACCCCACUGAAGAAACCACCAUUUUACCGUAAGAACUGCUUUCGCUGAAACCCUCCCAAAACGUCGGAGUAAAAACUCUGGCCCCGAUGAGCUAACUAGCGAACUUUAGCGAGCCUCCGCACGUCCUCAAGUACAGAGCGCCUACUGUUGAGUCCAACGAGCCACCAGAGCCGGAGCUCACUUCGUGGUACACCGCAACAUAGACUAUUCCGGAUCUAGGAAAAGAAGAGAUGCGUCUCCGCCGGAUUGUAAACCACCGUCAAUGAAAAACUGUUACGAUAAACACAAUAACUAGAAGAGAUGCCUCUUCACGG
This 531-nucleotide long non-coding RNA is filed under the name Brassica napus (rape). Its description in RNAcentral is "long non-coding RNA (BNAP_LNC008088)". Lineage: Eukaryota; Viridiplantae; Streptophyta; Magnoliopsida; Brassicales; Brassicaceae. The record is from RNAcentral.